GAGAGAGAGAGAGAGAGAGAGAGACGGGGGGGGUGGGGCACAUGCCCAGGAACACCCACAAGGAGUGUAAUCUAUUACCGAGAGGUCAUGUUUCCUCCACAUGCCUACAACCUGUGGGUUUGUAGCUAAAAUUAGGACUCGCCUUCCCUCUGCUACCUGAGACUCCCGCCAUCCCAAGCUGGGGAGGGUUCACAUUCCUGUCUCCCCCGCCUCUCCACCCAGGAGAGGGAGGGGACUCAUGGAUUCGUUGGGCAGGGAGGGACAGUCUAUCAGAGGCUUGACCUGAAAUGGUCAGGGAAGGCUUGCAGGCAGACAUGGGGUCUGAACUAGACUGUGAAAGACAAGUGGGAUUUAGAGAAGCUGGAGAGGCAGUGGGGAGUGUGAACAACGCAAGGAAAAGACAUGGAUCCAGCGCCCAGCACAGAGUGCACAGUGAGGAAGGUCCAUGGGAGCUAUGGAGAUGGAAGCUCCUCCAUUUGGCUGUCUGUACAUCCAAUCUGUUACUUGUGACUGCCGCGUGCAGGGAGGCAUCACACAUAUCUGAGGAUAGAACAGGGAACCUGGUGGCCAGCACACAGGACCCGUGAGCACCCAGCGGAGGGGUGGGAGUGGUAAGUUAUCUGAAAGGGCGCAGCCGGAAGCCUUUGGACAUUAGAUUUGUCUCAUCUGAUCUCCAGGAGGGUGCAGCUCCUUAGCCGCAUUACCAAAUGGCUGCUGUGGCUGCCAUGUGCCCAAGUCCAUCUAAUUAAGCUUGGAUUAAUUUCAGAGGCGUUGGCCUUCUGACCCCAGGGUGUGGGGCAGAGAAGGCCUGGCGCUGGGUCCACGUCCAAGCAUCCAGGAGGGCCUCACAGGCCAGGAGCUGCCUGGCAGGGUGCGCAUAGAAGAAGGUCACGCCUCAGUCCCUAGUGCCCACCUGCCAAGGGCCCAACAGGAGUAGGGGACAGAGUACUGAUCAAGUGCUGACUCUGCCCUGACUGGCUUCAGGAGGGGAGGGCGCGGAGUGGGCCUCACGGCUGAGGAGACCUUCCCUUGUAGAACUCGCUUCCUCAGCCCUAGGGGCCCCCAGAGGCACCACGGGGAGGUAGCCGGCCCUCCAGUCCCUCCCCAGUCUGAGCACUUGAGUGAGAGCGUUGGAAGAAAGGGUUCUGCUGCCAUUUGAAAAUCACUCCAAGGCAUCGCCUGGUCUUAGAUGAAAUGCAUCUGGGCCUCGACAUCUUCAGGAAAUGAGUUUGAGCCCCUUUCCUCCUGAGCGGGCACUUUGGUCGUGUGCAGACCUGAGCGCCGGGGGUGGGGCUGCCAGACAAGAGGGAAAAGGGGAGAAGGGGACGCCUGUGAAGAACUCUGCCUCCUUCACCGUUCCCCCCACCCCUCCCGCCCCAGCCCAGGUCGCUCCUCUGGUUCCAGUCUUCCCACCUGUUCCGGCUGACAAGGGAAGACUGUCUGUGGGCUCUCCCCACUCCUGGGACAGCCCCCAGCUGCCCCCAGAAGGGAUGGGCAUGGAUGACACAGAGACUCAUCCCCCAAACCCAUCUCCCCAGCUUCAGACAACAGAGGGUGGUCCCAGCAGAGCUGAAAGGAGAUUCCAGCUGGACUGGAUUUCAGGAUGAGCCUCUGGCCUCUGGCCUUUGGCAUCUUGCCUCCUGCCUCCUCGAUGUGAAGGAGAGAGAAGAGCCCGCCACGUACACCUUCCUCUUCACCCGUGGCUGAUGUCAACGGAGGAAAUUUAUGUUAGCGCCGCUAACAUUUUUGAGUGGUAUGUGUCUAAUUCUUUAGGUGCUAAGUGCUUUAUGUGCAUUAUCACAUUUAAGGUAAGGUGCUUCGAUUAUUUCCAUUUUUUAGAUAAGCAGGCAGAUUCCAAGGUCAAGCGACUUGCCAGGGUCAAAUGGCUAGCGAGGAGGUGGGUCAGCCGUUCACCCCAGGCGGUCUGGCUUUCAGCUCUACUCCGUGCUCCUCUAGGGGCGGGUGGCUCCAUCCAGUGGAGAGCAGGUCUGGGCCCCCGCAGCCUCCCAUUUACGAGUCCCUCAGGCCAUGGUUCUCAUCCGGAAAGUGGGUGGGUAUCAGAUUUGCCUGCGAACUUUUCCAAAAUGUCCCUGUCCUCUCCCUUCUCCGGCUUGUAUCAGGAUAGGCUUGUGUGAGGUGCACAGCACAUAAGUGGCAAAAGCUCCCCUAGUGAUUCCAGUGCUGUCCCUGCCAAUCCCCAGGCCUGCUGCCCGGGGACCUGUGCCCAUCAGGCCCCUGGGAGAAGCAGCCUCAAUCCCAUCUCAUGUUUUGAAAGAGCCCCAAGGCUGCUGCAGCUUCUUGCCCCUUUCCCAUAGACCAGAGGUUCUGCCCACUUCCAAGCCGGGCAGAAGUGUGCAGAUGUGACCACAUAAUCACACAUGCCCAGCACCAAGAAGCAUGGGGCAGGGGGUGCAGAGAAAGAGGAUUCAGCCUGCAGAGAUUUAACUUCUGGCCCCCAUGCCUAGCCCAGCGCUCCCCUCACCUCACCAAGCCCAGCCCAUGGACUGGAGUUAUUCCACCUACUUGUGCGUAAAUGUGAACAUUUCCGUAACUAACAAUUGGGUUUUAUUCCGAAUGGUUUGCAGUAAGGAUCAGAUGAAAUACUGGAUGUCAUGUGCUUUGCCUGUGCAGGCAUGAGGCCUGAUGGCCGGAUUAUCUAGCUCAUCUCUUAAUUCUCCCUGGAAGAGUGUCUGGUGGAAGCUCAGGGCAACAACCCUCACUGGGAGGAAAGACACGGAGGCCCAACGAGAGUCACAAAGUCAUGCAUCUGUGGGGCAGGGACAGAGGGGCCUGAAGCUUACACAGGGUGGUUAUUUUAUUUGUUUGUACGUUUGUUUUGGUUGAAGGGGGGGCUCUGUAAGAAAAAGAAUACAAAAUAACAAAAGCACAAUUAAAAUGAGUACAAACCUGAAAAUUUACCUAGAAUGAGGAAAAAAGCAUACUAAAUUACAAAUAUUAAAAAGCCAAGAGGGGACUUCCCUGGCGAUCCAGUGGUUAAGACUCCAUGCUUCCACUGCAGGGGACAUGGGUUCGAUCCCUGGUUGGGGAACUAAGAUCCCGCAUGCCACACGGUGCAGCCAAAAAAGAAAAAGGA
Non-coding RNA from Kogia breviceps (pygmy sperm whale), 3094 nucleotides. The record is from RefSeq and is a predicted model, not a curated record. NCBI's taxonomy places the organism in Eukaryota, Metazoa, Chordata, Mammalia, Artiodactyla, Physeteridae.